Molecule: ribosomal RNA, 460 nt
Filed under: uncultured bacterium
Lineage: Bacteria
Description: partial 16S ribosomal RNA
Rfam family: Bacterial small subunit ribosomal RNA
Source: RNAcentral
CCUACGGGGGGCUGCAGUGAGGAAUAUUGGUCAAUGGACGAGAGUCUGAACCAGCCAAGUAGCGUGAAGGAUGACUGCCCUAUGGGUUGUAAACUUCUUUUAUAUGGGAAUAAAAUGUUCCACGUGUGGGAUUUUGUAUGUACCAUAUGAAUAAGGAUCGGCUAACUCCGUGCCAGCAGCCGCGGUAAUACGGAGGAUCCGAGCGUUAUCCGGAUUUAUUGGGGUUAAAGGGAGCGUAGGUGGAUUGUUAAGUCAGUUGUGAAAGUUUGCGGCUCAACCGUAAAAUUGCAGUUGAAACUGGCAGUCUGGAGUACAGUAGAGGUGGGCGGAAUUCGUGGUGUAGCGGUGAAAUGCUUAGAUAUCACGAAGAACUCCGAUUGCGAAGGCAGCUCACUGGACUGCAACUGACACUGAGGCUCGAAAGUGUGGGUAUCAAACAGGAUUAGAUACCCCAGUAGUC